AUUGUUGUGGCAGAUAGUGCGAAGAGUUUAAGUCUCUUUUAAGUUUUUACCUUCAAUA
RNAcentral lists this transfer RNA (58 nucleotides) under Hygrobates turcicus. RNAcentral's name for it is "tRNA-Leu". Lineage: Eukaryota; Metazoa; Arthropoda; Arachnida; Trombidiformes; Hygrobatidae. The record is from RNAcentral.